UACAGAGGUGGCAAGCGUUGUUCGGAAUUACUGGGCGUAAAGGGCGAGUAGGCGGCCUUCUAAGUCAGACGUGAAAUCCCCCGGCUUAACCUGGGAACUGCGUCUGAUACUGGGAGGCUCGAGUAUGGGAGAGGGAUGUAGAAUUCCAGGUGUAGCGGUGAAAUGCGCAGAUAUCAGGAGGAACACCGGUGGCGAAGGCGGUUCUCUGGGCAUGUCCUGACGCUGAGGAGCGAAAGUGUGGGGAGCGAACAGG
Molecule: ribosomal RNA, 253 nt
Filed under: uncultured bacterium
Lineage: Bacteria
Description: partial 16S ribosomal RNA
Rfam family: Bacterial small subunit ribosomal RNA
Source: RNAcentral